GACGAACGCUGGCGGCGUGCCUAAUACAUGCAAGUCGAGCGAAGUUUUUCUGGUGCUUGCACCGGAAAAACUUAGCGGCGAACGGGUGAGUAACACGUAAAGAACCUGCCUCAUAGACUGGGACAACUAUUGGAAACGAUAGCUAAUACCGGAUAACAGCAUUAACUGCAUGGUUGAUGUUUGAAAGUUGGUUUUGCUAACACUAUGAGAUGGCUUUGCGGUGCAUUAGCUAGUUGGUGGGGUAAAGGCCUACCAAGGCGACGAUGCAUAGCCGACCUGAGAGGGGGAUCGGCCACACUGGGACUGAGACACGGCCCAGACUCCUACGGGAGGCAGCAGUAGGGAAUCUUCCGCAAUGGGCGAAAGCCUGACGGAGCAACGCCGCGUGAGUGAAGAAGGAUUUCGGUUCGUAAAGCUCUGUUGUUAGGGAAGAAUGAUUAUGUAGUAACUAUACAUAGUAGAGACGGUACCUAACCAGAAAGCCACGGCUAACUACGUG
This 499-nucleotide ribosomal RNA is filed under the name uncultured bacterium. RNAcentral describes it as "partial 16S ribosomal RNA". It matches the Rfam family "Bacterial small subunit ribosomal RNA", at positions 28 to 507 of the family's 1533-position model. The record is from RNAcentral.